AACGAACGCUGGCGGCGUGCCUAACACAUGCAAGUCGAACGCUCCGCAAGGGGAGUGGCGAACGGGUGAGUAACGCGUGGGAACCUGCCCAGUAGUUGGGGAUAACCGCGGGAAACUGCGGCUAAUACCGAAUACGCCCUAAGGGGAAAGAUUUAUCGCUAUUGGAGGGGCCCGCGUCGGAUUAGCUGGUUGGUGAGGUAACGGCUCACCAAGGCGACGAUCCGUAGCUGGUCUGAGAGGAUGANCAGCCACACUGGGACUUAGACACGGCCCAGACUCCUACGGGAGGCAGCAGUGGGGAAUAUUGGUCAAUGGGUGAGAGCCUGAACCAGCCAUGCCGCGUGCAGCAAGAAGGCGUUAUGCGUUGUAAACUGCUUUUG
This 380-nucleotide ribosomal RNA is filed under the name uncultured bacterium. Its description in RNAcentral is "partial 16S ribosomal RNA". It matches the Rfam family "Bacterial small subunit ribosomal RNA", at positions 29 to 438 of the family's 1533-position model. The record is from RNAcentral.